UACGGAGGGUGCAAACGUUGCUCGGAAUCACUGGGCGUAAAGCGCACGUAGGCGGUCCGAUAAGUCGGAUGUGAAAGCCCUGGGCUCAACCUAGGAAGUGCAUUCGAAACUGUCGGACUUGAGUACGGGAGAGGGUUGCGGAAUUCCCGGUGUAGAGGUGAAAUUCGUAGAUAUUCGGAGGAACACCAGAAGCGAAGGCGGCUCACUGGCCCGAUACUGACGCUGAGGCGCGAAAGCGUGGGGAGCAAACAGG
RNAcentral lists this ribosomal RNA (253 nucleotides) under uncultured bacterium. RNAcentral's name for it is "partial 16S ribosomal RNA". It matches the Rfam family "Bacterial small subunit ribosomal RNA", at positions 524 to 776 of the family's 1533-position model. The record is from RNAcentral.